RNAcentral lists this ribosomal RNA (330 nucleotides) under Klebsiella pneumoniae subsp. pneumoniae. RNAcentral's name for it is "bacterial LSU rRNA". It matches the Rfam family "Bacterial large subunit ribosomal RNA", at positions 1606 to 1916 of the family's 2925-position model. Lineage: Bacteria; Pseudomonadati; Pseudomonadota; Gammaproteobacteria; Enterobacterales; Enterobacteriaceae. The record is from RNAcentral.
UUCCAGGAAAAGCCUCUAAGCAUCAGGUAACAUCAAAUCGUACCCCAAACCGACACAGGUGGUCAGGUAGAGAAUACCAAGGCGCUUGAGAGAACUCGGGUGAAGGAACUAGGCAAAAUGGUGCCGUAACUUCGGGAGAAGGCACGCUGGUGUGUAGGUGAAGCCCCUGCGGGUGGAGCUGAGACCAGUCGAAGAUACCAGCUGGCUGCAACUGUUUAUUAAAAACACAGCACUGUGCAAACACGAAAGUGGACGUAUACGGUGUGACGCCUGCCCGGUGCCGGAAGGUUAAUUGAUGGGGUUAUCCGUAAGGAGAAGCUCUUGAUCGAA